AUUGAACGCUGGCGGCAUGCUUUACACAUGCAAGUCGAACGGCAGCGGGGUAGUGCUUGCACUAAUGCCGGCGAGUGGCGAACGGGAGAGUAAUAUAUCGGAACGUACCGAGUAAUGGGGGAUAACUAAUAGAAAGAUAGGCUAAUACCGCUUACGUCUUGAGGGAGAAAGUGGGGGAUCGCAAGACCUCCCGUUUUUCGAUCGGCCGAUAACUGAUUAGCUAGUUGGUGGGGUAUAGGCCUACCAAGGCGACGAUCAGUAGCGGGUCUGAGAGGACGAUCCGCCACACUGGGACUGAGACACGGCCCAGACUCCUACGGGAGGCAGCAGUGGGGAAUUUUGGACAAUGGGGGCAAGCCUGAUCCAGCCAUGCCGCGUGUAUGAAGAAGGCCUUCGGGUUGUAAAGUACUUUUGUUAGGGAAGAAAAGGGAAGUACUAAUACCACUUUUUGCUGACGGUACCUAAAGAAUAAGCACCGGCUAACUACGUG
RNAcentral lists this ribosomal RNA (490 nucleotides) under uncultured bacterium. Its description in RNAcentral is "partial 16S ribosomal RNA". It matches the Rfam family "Bacterial small subunit ribosomal RNA", at positions 30 to 507 of the family's 1533-position model. The record is from RNAcentral.